AGUGAACGCUGGCGGUAGGCCUAACACAUGCAAGUCGAACGGCAGCACAGUAAGAGCUUGCUCUUACGGGUGGCGAGUGGCGGACGGGUGAGGAAUACAUCGGAAUCUACUUUUUCGUGGGUGAUAACGUAGGGAAACUUACGCUAAUACCGCAUACGACCUACGGGUGAAAGCUUGGGAUCUUCGGACCUUGCGCGAUUGAAUGAGCCGAUGUCGGAUUAGCUAGUUGGCGGGGUAAAGGCCCACCAAGGCGACGAUCCGUAGCUGGUCUGAGAGGAUGAUCAGCCACACUGGAACUGAGACACGGUCCAGACUCCUACGGGAGGCAGCAGUGGGGAAUAUUGGACAAUGGGCGCAAGCCUGAUCCAGCCAUACCGCGUGGGUGAAGAAGGCCUUCGGGUUGUAAAGCCCUUUUGUUGGGAAAGAAAAGCAGCAGGUUAAUACCCCGCUGUUCUGACGGUACCCAAAGAAUAAGCACCGGCUAACUUCGUG
RNAcentral lists this ribosomal RNA (492 nucleotides) under uncultured bacterium. RNAcentral's name for it is "partial 16S ribosomal RNA". It matches the Rfam family "Bacterial small subunit ribosomal RNA", at positions 29 to 507 of the family's 1533-position model. The record is from RNAcentral.